GAGCGGGAUAUCGCUUCUAAAGGAGAGCUAUGACCGCAUAUGCUCUCUUUGAGUUGGUAUUGGUGAGAAAAGGCUGAGGUGCUUGAAGAUGGGGCUGCGGUCCAUCAGCUAGUUGGUGGGGAAAGAGCCUACCAAGGAGACGACGAAUAAGGGGCCUGAUAGGGUGGGCCCCCACACUGGGACUGAUACACCGCCCACACUCCUACGGGAGGCAGCAGUGAGGAAUAUUGCACAAUGGGCGCUAGCCUGAUGCAGCGACCCCGCGUGGGUGAAGAAGGUUUUCGGAUCGUAAAGCCCUUUUCUGUGUGACGAGAAAGGACGGUAGCACAGGAAUAAGUCUCGGCUAACUACGUACCAACCAUCGCCUAACUCCGUGCCAGGCAAGCGUUAUCCGGAGUUACUGGGCGCAAAGAGCGUGUAUCGCGGGGAUGCAAGUCCGUUGUGAAAGCUCCCAGAUUAACUGGGAGAGGUCAGUGGAGACUGCAUACCUAGAGAGCAUUACAGGGAAGCGGAAUUCCGGGUGUAGUGGUGAAAUGCAUAUAUAUCCGGAGGAACAC
RNAcentral lists this ribosomal RNA (557 nucleotides) under uncultured bacterium. RNAcentral describes it as "bacterial SSU rRNA". It matches the Rfam family "Bacterial small subunit ribosomal RNA", at positions 136 to 709 of the family's 1533-position model. The record is from RNAcentral.